RNAcentral lists this ribosomal RNA (437 nucleotides) under uncultured bacterium. RNAcentral's name for it is "bacterial SSU rRNA". It matches the Rfam family "Bacterial small subunit ribosomal RNA", at positions 954 to 1392 of the family's 1533-position model. The record is from RNAcentral.
GCUUAACGCGAAGAACCUUACCUGGGUUUGACAUGGUGGGAAGAGCCACAGAGAUGUGGUGUCCUUUUGGGCCCAUCACAGGUGGUGCAUGGCUGUCGUCAGCUCGUGUCGUGAGAUGUUGGGUUAAGUCCCGCAACGAGCGCAACCCUUGUCCUAUGUUGCCAGCACGUAAUGGUGGGGACUCGUAGGAGACUGCCGGGGUCAACUCGGAGGAAGGUGGGGACGACGUCAAGUCAUCAUGCCCCUUAUGUCCAGGGCUGCAAACAUGCUACAAUGGCCGGUACAAAGGGCUGCGAGACCGCGAGGUUGAGCGAAUCCCACAAAGCCGGUCUCAGUUCGGAUCGGAGUCUGCAACUCGACUCCGUGAAGCUGGAGUUGCUAGUAAUCCCGGAUCAGCAACGCCGGGGUGAAUACGUUCCCGGGUCUUAUACACACCG